GGCCGCCUGGAGCUGAGCUAGAGCCUGCUGCAUCCUCUCCACCUUCUCCACAUAUACCUGUUUCUUCUUCAGCUGCACACACAGACAGAAAGAGGGAAUAGUUACAUUUUCUUGUGCUAUUUCUCCUUCACAUAAGACCAAACAGAUGGGGGAAGGACCACACUGUUCUGACCACAGGCAUUGCAGCUUUAAAGUCCAGUGGUGGAGCGCAGUGCAUUCAGCUCUAUCUCUAACUUCUCCUUCUCCCGCAGCGUCUCUUUGUCUAAACAUUCUUACUGCCACGUUGUGGGGAUCAUCUCUAGAGACUCCUGGCUCGCUCCCUGCUGGAUCUAAAAGAAGAAAAAACCAAUAACUCGCUACGAAGAUGCCUCAUCAAGCUGCUAACUGUUGAUUACCUCCAUUGACUAUUCUGUGUCCUUGAUGAGCUGUUUGUUUGCCAGCAACGCUGUGAAUUAACCUGGCUACCAGCAUCUCCUCGCAAGCUCUUCUUGCUCCUCCAGCCUGUACGUUCUGGUCCACUGGUCUGGUCCUCACGGAGCACCCACUCUCACCUGCACACCACAGCCCUCAGGUCCCUUGGCUUCCUGCUCAGUCCUUGUCCAUUCUUUGGUUCACUCAGCAUACUAGUGUUCUAUUAAAUAAACUUCUGUAUCUCACGUCAGUAAGGUCUGCAUCCCGGGGUCCUACCUCACACACCAUAACAACACCUAACCUAUUAUUACCCUUCCUUCAUCUGUCUUUGUGCUUAAACAGUGACCUCUGAUUACACAUGUUUUUUGUUUUUUCUUAUCCCUGUAAGUGUUCAUGUAACAAAGAUGUGUUUGCCGAUUAGUAGCAGCUACUAAAACUCUGGACAGAAGCAGCAUGUACUCAGGCUUGGGGAGUAACUGAAUGUACUGGAUGGUGUUAUGUAAUUAGGAUAUAAAAAAGGCUAACCUUAAAUUGCAGAGAAAAAGAUGUAAUCAGAUUACUGAUGCAUUUAGUAAAAAUUGGGAUUAUUAGUAGAAUUACAAUUUUAGCACUGUUCAAUAAAGAACAGUGCUCGCGCACUGCAACAUUUCACAAGUCUCACUUGAGUAAAACUGUAGCUAAUCUUGUGUCGAAAUCUGUUUCCCUUAAGCUGAAUCUAACCUUAUGCUAACCAUAAUUACUGAGGGAGGUGCAUAAUGUUUCGGCUAUUAAUCCAAACAUGAAUAACAAGGACAGGAACAGCUGGAAAAACAGUUCAUGGUUUUAGGUAGGUAGAACGUUAUUGAUCCUGCAGUGGGGAAAUUCCAGACUAGGAUGUUUUUUUCCUAUGUACUAAAACAAAGCACUAUCUGUUUACCUUGUAAAAGGAGCAUAUUUUAUGUUUGCUUUGAAAAAGAUGCUAUUCUGUAAUCCAGUACUUUAAUUUAUAAUAGAUAGGCCUGCAACCUGAAGUUGCUUUAUUGUUUUCAUUUCCUUUCAUUUGUUUGUUGUUUUUUUUAUUCAGUAGGUGGAAACAUUAUGUUAAAAAAUAUAGUGUGUUCAUAAUGUGCAUAUUAAAACAUAGCAUUUUCUUUUUGCCUGGUAAAAGGAGAAGAUUUGAUUAUUACUUUGUAAACUGUGGUUGUAUGUGGUGACUUUCAUUGUAGGUCUAUAGGCUACGUCUGAAUUUGCUUAAUGAAAAACAGGUCUUUCUUAAAAAAUACACUGAUAACACAUUGUUGAUAUUUCUUUUCUCAUGCCUUUAUUUGUAUAUUUGGUAUUGAGGUAAUCCAAAGUAAUGGAAUGUAAUCAAGUUACAUUACUUUACUAUUGUGAUAGUUGGAUAAAGUUACUGAUUACAUUUUUUAGGUUAUUUGUAACUGUAUCAUAAUACAGUUUUAAAGUAACUUUCCCAACCCUGCAUGUACUACAGCAGGACACAGCUAUGCAGACACUGAGGCCAUGUAAUGGGGUUGUGUGUUGUGCAUGUUUGAUAGGAAAUAAAACAUUCAGAGCAACCUUUGACAAAAUGUUCUAAAUCAAAUCAAAUGUCUUUGUUUGAAAUCAAGUGUAAAAAGGUGCCAAAGAACUUCCAGUAAAGUCAUGCAAGCUACUGUACCUGCAAUAUGUGGGCACAUUUAACCUGUCACCUCUUUUCCCACAAUACAUUUAUCACUUUUGAAAUUAGUAUAAAACUUGAGCAAAAUAAAAACAUAACAGGAAGCUGGCUUUACUAUAGUUUUGACUCUUAUUGCAUGGUUU
Molecule: long non-coding RNA, 2211 nt
Organism: Monopterus albus (swamp eel)
Lineage: Eukaryota; Metazoa; Chordata; Actinopteri; Synbranchiformes; Synbranchidae
Exons: 3
Source: RefSeq, a predicted model, not a curated record